UUAAAGGGUGGGGUUUAGGAUUUAGGGUUUAGGGUUUAGGGUUUAGAUUUUAGGGUUUAGGGUUUAGAUUUUAGGGUUUAGGGUUUAUGGUUUAGGGUUUAGGGUUUAGAGUUGAGAAAUGAGGUUUUGGGGAUAAGAUUUCAACUUUUGAAAAAUAAAAAAAAUUAAAAUUUUCAAAGGAUAAACUUAGAAAUGUGCUAUUUUGGUCAUUUUAGUUUUUGAGUGCUAUUUUUAUGAUAUAAACUUAGAAAGGUGCUAUUUUGG
RNAcentral lists this long non-coding RNA (264 nucleotides) under Brassica napus (rape). RNAcentral describes it as "long non-coding RNA (BNAP_LNC021630)". The record is from RNAcentral. Lineage: Eukaryota; Viridiplantae; Streptophyta; Magnoliopsida; Brassicales; Brassicaceae.